This is a small nuclear RNA of Symphalangus syndactylus (siamang), 107 nucleotides long. The record is from RefSeq and is a predicted model, not a curated record. NCBI's taxonomy places the organism in Eukaryota, Metazoa, Chordata, Mammalia, Primates, Hylobatidae.
GUGUUCACUUUGGCAGCAUAUAUACUAAAAUUGGAUAGAUACAGAGAAGAUCAGCAUGGACCCUGCACAAAGAUGACAUGCAAAUUCGUGAAGCAUUCCAUAUUUUU